Molecule: small nucleolar RNA, 136 nt
Filed under: Phaseolus vulgaris (common bean)
Lineage: Eukaryota; Viridiplantae; Streptophyta; Magnoliopsida; Fabales; Fabaceae
Description: snoRNA snoR134
Rfam family: small nucleolar RNA snoR134
Source: Rfam by way of RNAcentral
CCGCACGGUGCCUCCCGGGCAUCUUGAAUCCACAUGACGUGAACGCCCCGAUGCACGUGCGAAAUCAUCGCCGUUCGUGUUGCAGUUCAUCCCCAAUUUUCCACAGUUGAUCUGUGUCAAAGUAACGGUGAAAUUC